UACGGGGGGGGCAAGCGUUGUUCGGAAUUACUGGGCGUAAAGGGCUCGUAGGCGGCCAACUAAGUCAGACGUGAAAUCCCUCAGCUUAACUGGGGAACUGCGUCUGAUACUGGAUGGCUUGAGUGUGGGAGAGGGAUGCGGAAUUCCAGGUGUAGCGGUGAAAUGCGUAGAUAUCUGGAGGAACACCGGUGGCGAAGGCGGCAUCCUGGACCAACACUGACACUGAUGAGCGAAAGCCAGGGGAGCAGACGGG
Molecule: ribosomal RNA, 253 nt
Filed under: uncultured bacterium
Lineage: Bacteria
Description: partial 16S ribosomal RNA
Rfam family: Bacterial small subunit ribosomal RNA
Source: RNAcentral